AGAUUCUCCCCAGACGCCAAGGAUGCGGGUCAUGGCGUCCCGAACCCUCCUCCUGCUGCUCUCGGGAGCCGUGGUCCUGAUCCAGACCUGGGCAGAUUACAAUUACAAUCAAGGCAGAAAUGAUCUCAUUUUUACACAA
Molecule: small RNA, 139 nt
Filed under: Pongo abelii (Sumatran orangutan)
Lineage: Eukaryota; Metazoa; Chordata; Mammalia; Primates; Hominidae
Description: sense overlapping
Source: RNAcentral